Molecule: ribosomal RNA, 460 nt
Filed under: uncultured bacterium
Lineage: Bacteria
Description: partial 16S ribosomal RNA
Rfam family: Bacterial small subunit ribosomal RNA
Source: RNAcentral
CCUACGGGUGGCAGCAGUGAGGAAUAUUGGUCAAUGGUCGCGAGCCUGAACCAGCCAAGUAGCGUGAAGGAUGACUGCCCUGCGGGUUGUAAACUUCUUUUGUCAGGGAAUAAAGUGUGGCACGUGUGCCCUUUUGUGUGUACUUUAUGAAUAAGGAUCGGCUAACUCCGUGCCAGCAGCCGCGGUAAUACGGAGGAUCCGAGCGUUAUCCGGAUUUAUUGGGUUUAAAGGGAGCGUAGAUGGGUUGUUAAGUCAGUUGUGAAAGUUUGCGGCUCAACCGUACAAUUGCAAUUGAUACUGGCAGUCUGGAGUACAGUUGAGGUAGGCGGAAUUCGCGGUGUAGCGGUGAAAUGCUUAGAUAUCACGAAGAACUCCGAUUGCGAAGGCAGCUUACUAAACUGACACUGACAUUGAUGCUCGAAAGUGUGGGUAUCAAACAGGAUUAGAUACCCGGGUAGUC